Molecule: non-coding RNA, 45 nt
Filed under: Schistosoma mansoni
Lineage: Eukaryota; Metazoa; Platyhelminthes; Trematoda; Strigeidida; Schistosomatidae
Source: RNAcentral
AUCUACUUGAUGAGUUCCAAAUAAGACGAAACGCGUGUACUAGAU